UCCCUGGUGGUUCAGUGGUUAGGACUCUGCGCUUCCAUUGUGGGGGGCAUGGGUUCAAUCCCUGGCUAGGGAA
Molecule: transfer RNA, 73 nt
Filed under: Ovis aries (sheep)
Lineage: Eukaryota; Metazoa; Chordata; Mammalia; Artiodactyla; Bovidae
Rfam family: tRNA
About the family: Transfer RNA (tRNA) molecules are approximately 80 nucleotides in length. Their secondary structure includes four short double-helical elements and three loops (D, anti-codon, and T loops).
Source: Rfam by way of RNAcentral